UCCGGUGAUCCUGCCGGACCCCACUGCUAUCGGGAUAGGACUAAGACAUGCUAGUCGAGCGCUCUUCAGCCAUGAUAAGAGCGCGGCACACAGCUCAGUAACACGUGGCUAACCUGCCCUCGGGACGGGAACACCCCCGGGAAACUGGGGCUAAUUCCCGAUAGGCGAAGAACUCUGGAAUGAGUCUCCGCCCUAAAGACGCUUAGAUCACGCUUUUAAGCGCCGCCCAAGGAUGGGGCCGCGACCGAUCAGGUUGUUGGUGAGGUAACGGCCCACCAAGCCUUUUACCGGUGCGGGCCGUGGGAGCGGGAGCCCGGAGAUGGGCACUGAGACAAGGGCCCAGGCCCUACGGGGCGCAGCAGUCGCGAAAACUUUGCAAUAAGCGAAAGCUUGACAGGGCUAUCCCGAGUGCCGUCCGCUGAGGAAGGCUUUUACCCAGUCUAGAACGCUGGGAGAAUAAGGAGAGGGCAAGUCUGGUGUCAGCCGCCGCGGUAAUACCAGCUCUCCGAGUGGUGUGGAUGUUUAUUGGGCCUAAAGCAUCCGUAGCUGGCCAGGCAAGUCCCCUGUUAAAUCCACCGAAUCAAUCGUUGGAUUGCGGGGGAUACUGCUCGGCUAGGGGACGAGAGAGGCCGACGGUAUUUCC
This 643-nucleotide ribosomal RNA is filed under the name uncultured Thermoprotei archaeon. RNAcentral describes it as "bacterial SSU rRNA". It matches the Rfam family "Archaeal small subunit ribosomal RNA", at positions 1 to 622 of the family's 1478-position model. The record is from RNAcentral. Lineage: Archaea; Thermoproteati; Thermoproteota; Thermoprotei.